This 1755-nucleotide ribosomal RNA is filed under the name Pirellulaceae bacterium. Its description in RNAcentral is "partial 23S ribosomal RNA". It matches the Rfam family "Bacterial large subunit ribosomal RNA", at positions 1153 to 2925 of the family's 2925-position model. Lineage: Bacteria; Pseudomonadati; Planctomycetota; Planctomycetia; Pirellulales; Pirellulaceae. The record is from RNAcentral.
GCAUUUCUGCGCCGAUAAUGAACGGGAGUAAAUAUAACACCGAAGCCGUGGACUUAGUUUAUCUUCGGGUAAACUAAUUGGUAGGAGAGCGCUGUACAGCAGAUACAAGCCAUACCGUAAGGAGUGGUCGCGGGCUGUACAGGUGAUUAUGCCGGAAUGAGUAACGAUAAAACAGGUGAGAAUCCUGUUCGCCGAAAGCCUAAGGUUUCCUGGGGAAGGUAAUUCCGCCCAGGGUUAGCCGGUACCUUAGUCGAGGCUGAAGAGCGUAGACGAUGGAUAGCGGGUCAAUAUUCCCGCGCCGGUGUGUGGACUGAUGGAGGGACGGCGUCCGAAAUGCUAGCGAGCGAAUAGAAAUGCUCGUUGCCGAAGGCCAAGUUGUAGUGGGUUAAAAGACACUUAUAAUACAAGGCAUAGGCUAAGCUGUUUACGGCGAUGUAGUUGGCAGGACGUCCAAGAAAAGCUCCUAGGUUUGAAGCACACUGACCGUACUAAAACUGACACAGGUAGGCGAGUCGAGUAGACUAAGGCGCUCGGGAGAACGGUGGUUAAGGAACUCUGCAAAAUGGCCCCGUAAGUUCGCGAUAAGGGGUGCCGGUGAGAGCCGGCCACAGUAAAUCGGCUUCUUCGACUGUUUAUCAAAAACACAGGUCUCUGCAAACACGUAAGUGGACGUAUAGAGACUGACGCCUGCCCGGUGCUGGUAGGUUAAGGAAGUGGGUUAGCUCUUCGGAGUGAAGCUCCCAACCGAAGCCCCAGUAAACGGCGGCCGUAACUAUGACGGUCCUAAGGUAGCGAAGUUCCUUGUCGGGUAAGUUCCGACCUGCAUGAAAGGCGUAACGAGAGAAGCACUGUCUCAACCACCGACCCGGUGAAAUUGUAGUCGUGGUGAAGAUGCCACGUACCCGCGGUUAGACGGAAAGACCCCGUGAACCUUUACUGUAGGCAGUUAUUGGGCUGAGAUAUGUUUUGUGUAGGAUAGGUGGGAGGCUUUGAUCAGGUGGCGCCAGCCAUUUGUGAGCCAUCCUUGAAAUACCACCCUGGAUAUGUUUUAGUUCUAACCUCGUCUUGUGAAUCCAAGCGAGAGACAGUGGCUGUUGGGCAGUUUGGCUGGGGCGGUCUCCUCCCAAAGAGUAACGGAGGAGUGCAAUAGGUACACUCAGCGUGGUUGGCAAUCACGCGUCGAGCGCAAAGGUAGAAGUGUGCUAUACUGCGAGACUUAUCAGUCGAGCAGUUACGAAAGUAGGUCUUAGUGAUCCUGUGAUCCCGAAUGGAAGGGUCAUAGCUCAUCAGAUAAAAGGUACUCCGGGGAUAACAGGCUUAUCGCUCCCGAGCGUCCAUAGCGGCGGAGCGGUUUGGCACCUCGAUGUCGGCUCAUCACAUCCUGGGGGUGAAGAAGCUCCCAAGGGUUUGGCUGUUCGCCAAUGAAAGUGGUACGUGAGCUGGGUUCAGACCGUCGUGAGACAGGUCGGUCCCUAUCUGCCGUGGGCGUUCGAAACUUGAAGGGGUUCAACUUUAGUACGAGAGGAUUUAGUUGGACGAAGCUCUGGUGUACCAGUUGUCACGCUAGUGGCACGGCUGGAUAGCUAACUUCGGACAGGAUAAACGCUGAAAGCAUCUAAGCGUGAAGCCCUCCCUGAGAUUAGGUUUCGUAGCAUUCGCGAGAGUCCCCAGGAAGACGACCUGGUUGAUAGGCUAGAUGUGUAAGUGCAGUAAUGUACUCAGCUAACUAGUACUAACGGACGAAUGCUUGACCAC